RNAcentral lists this ribosomal RNA (259 nucleotides) under uncultured prokaryote. RNAcentral describes it as "partial 16S ribosomal RNA". It matches the Rfam family "Bacterial small subunit ribosomal RNA", at positions 524 to 782 of the family's 1533-position model. The record is from RNAcentral.
UACGUAGGUGGCAAGCGUUAUCCGGAAUCAUUGGGCGUAAAGAGCGCGUAGGUGGCUUGUCAGGUCCGAUGUGAAAACCUGGGGCUCAACUCCAGGCCUGCAUCGGAAACCGGCUUGCUAGAGUCUGGGAGAGGAGAGCGGAAUUCCUGGUGUAGCGGUGAAAUGCGUAGAUAUCAGGAGGAACACCGGUAGCGAAGGCGGCUCUCUGGAACAGUACUGACGCUGAGGCGCGAAAGCUAGGGGAGCGAACAGGAUUAGA